UGGGGAAUCUUGGACAAUGGGCGCAAGCCUGAUCCAGCGACGCCGCGUGGGUGAUGAAGGCCCUCGGGUUGUAAAGCCCUUUCGCCGGGGACGAUGAUGACGGUACCCGGUAAAGAAGCACCGGCUAACUCCGUGCCAGCAGCCGCGGUAAGACGGAGGGUGCUAGCGUUGUUCGGAAUCACUGGGCGUAAAGGGCGCGUAGGCGGCUGCUUAAGUCGAGGGUGAAAGCCCGGGGCUCAACCUCGGAACGGCCUUCGAGACUGGGCGGCUAGAGACCGGAAGAGGAGGGUGGAAUACCCAGUGUAGAGGUGAAAUUCGUAGAUAUUGGGUGGAACACCAGUGGCGAAAGCGGCUCUCUGGUCCGGAUCUGACGCUGAGGCGCGAAAGCGUGGGGAGCAAACAGGAUUAGAUACCCCGGUAGUCC
RNAcentral lists this ribosomal RNA (424 nucleotides) under uncultured prokaryote. RNAcentral's name for it is "bacterial SSU rRNA". It matches the Rfam family "Bacterial small subunit ribosomal RNA", at positions 355 to 796 of the family's 1533-position model. The record is from RNAcentral.